Ipomoea nil (Japanese morning glory) is the source of this 1015-nucleotide long non-coding RNA. RefSeq lists it as uncharacterized. The record is from RefSeq and is a predicted model, not a curated record. NCBI's taxonomy places the organism in Eukaryota, Viridiplantae, Streptophyta, Magnoliopsida, Solanales, Convolvulaceae. The transcript is spliced from 3 exons.
GUAGAACAACACCAAUCCCUUAGCUCUCUCUCUCUAACACUCAAUCCGAUCGCGUUGUCAAUCCCUUAGCUCUCUCUGUCUCUAACACUCACUAAGAUCGCGUAGAAUCACUCCGAUCUUGUUCAUGGCGCUCUAUUCUUUAGGUUUUCAACUCCAUUUCGAGCAGAAUUUCAUUCUGACCGAACUCUCUCUCUCUCAAUGUAGAAGUAACUGUUGUUCGUCUAUACACACACCUCACCCUACAAUGUUGCCGAUUUCCAGGAAAAAAACACUUUAUGAGUUCGAUUUCACUGAUUUAGGUUCGAUCUACUGUUAAAGUUACAUUUCUGGUGUUUUAGAGUAAGAGGUUAGAGAUGAGUCAGUCUAAUAUCUGUGGAUUCUACACGGUGUCGAGAAACCUAAUAUCAAGGUAUUUUGUGAACAAUAACACUAAGUUUACAGUUUAACAAUGGCGUAAAGAUGUAAAAAUUGUCUCAACAAUGUACAUACAACAACAUUUGGCAAAGACAGGAAAAUUUAACAGUGACAAAAAUUGUGCUUACCUCUUCAUCGCAUACCAGAACCUCUCUACUCUUCAUCUGUUUCGAGCCUCUCCUUUACGGUAUUUCAUAAACUCUAACACACCUAACUCGUAUGGCCCUCUCUCUAUCAAGAGGGACAAUAUCUUUAACCAAAAUAUACUGACUUGGAAUGGUUAAAUUUGCAGGGAUUUUGAAUAUGGUUGACUGCUAAUGAAGAGAUGGAACAAUGGUUGGUGAAAAAAGAUUGACACAGGGGUUUAUAUAGGCUCAAGAAGUGGAAUUUGAAAUUUGAAGCUACCAUUACUUGCAGCCGGAAUAGUGAUGGAAACCUUUGAGUUUCCAAGAAAGAAAUCAGAAUCAUCAUGCUGAUUAUUUCGAAGCAUUUUUUUUUAAAAUACGUUGUUCAAUAUGUAUGUGUAUAUUUGAAUGUCUUUAGGUGUAUAUAUGUAAAUUGAUAUAUGAAGUCUUGGAAAUAGAUUAUAUUUAGGUUCUCA